CAUAAAGAGGGAAGCAGGAUACAUGUGAUUGGAAAAUAAAUUUCUUUGAGAUUUUUUUUAAAAAUUGUUGAAAUGAUUUAUACAUGAUCGGUAGCUAUGUCAAGUUGACAAUCUAUUCGUGACCUUGUACUCAAGUGGAUGAAAUAGACCAGAUAGUUGAUUUCCGAUAUGCACUGAUAUAGUUUUGGUGGAUUAUCAAAUGAUUAAUUAGAAUAGGAGCAUACAGUGGGAUUACAUGGAUUAAGACCAGCUGAUUUUUCAUGCAACUGAAUCAUCAGACACGGCAAGUGACAAUUGACAACUGCGGAAGGUUGGAUGACAUAUGAUAGUGAAAGUCUAGAAAGAGUGCAUGGAUUUAGUUCUGAAGAUUUAUAUCUGCUGGUUUGAUCACAAAGGAAUGCAAGGAAGGCUGUGUGGAUCAGACGGGUAGCUGCAUUUGAUAAUGAGUAGGGAUCAAAUACACUGGGGUCAGUUCGUCACUCCAGGGCUUCUGCUCUUUUAUAUUGCUGGAUGGAUCGGAUAUGUAGGAAGGAGCUACUUGAUUGUAAUCAGAGAUGAAGAAGCGAACAUUGAAAUCAUAAUCAAUGAUCCCUUUGUUAUUUAGUUUCAAAGCUCAGAGGAUUCGGCUAGCUUACCUCAAUGUAUUACAAAUUUACAUUAUAUCUUAAUUCAGUAAGGUUCAUUGCUAUCUAGAUACAAUUACAAUUCAGUUUCACUGUUGUAGCAUGCCGAUAGCAAGUAGUUGAAAAUUCUUAUUAAUCGGA
This is an RNA transcript of Daucus carota subsp. sativus, 764 nucleotides long. RefSeq lists it as uncharacterized. The transcript has 3 exons. NCBI's taxonomy places the organism in Eukaryota, Viridiplantae, Streptophyta, Magnoliopsida, Apiales, Apiaceae. The record is from RefSeq and is a predicted model, not a curated record.